Cucurbita pepo subsp. pepo (vegetable marrow) is the source of this 586-nucleotide non-coding RNA. NCBI's taxonomy places the organism in Eukaryota, Viridiplantae, Streptophyta, Magnoliopsida, Cucurbitales, Cucurbitaceae. The record is from RefSeq and is a predicted model, not a curated record.
AGAUUUGUCGCUGAUUUACUCAAUAAACUCCUCUUCAUUGCUGCUGCUGCUGCUAAGGACACCGACAAAGGAAGGAGGAUGAGAUGCAGUCAAAUUUGUUUUCAAACAAACAAAUAAAGAGCAAGAAAAUUCGAAGUUCCGCGGGAAAACAAUAAUCGGAAUCGUUUAGUGUGCAAUUACGCCUCUGAUUCGGCUCUCCAACAAUAAUAUUCUUCAAUGAAUUUGCAUUAAUUGCGAAAGGAUGAUCGAUCAAGGGACUACAAAAUUUGUUAGGUCGUGCAUCUGUCAUUUUCCUCUUGAAUCUGACUUUUCCGCUUUCAAGAUUGCUUCAGUUAACACCAAUUUCCCGAUUGAUCGACUCUAUGAAGAACAAGCAGAACAAGAAGUUGCCAAUUGUUGGAUGUGUUCGAUGGGCCGUCGCGCGAGUGCGCAUAAACUGUUUGUCAAAAUGCGAAUCCGUUUUGGCAUUGGAAUUGCUGCUGAGUUUACUAUUGAAACACUUACUGGCUACUUACUUUCUUCAUUAAUUCAAGUACACAACAUAUUUAAAACCUCUUGAAGAACUCAGCAGCCCGAUCCUUUCGGA